RNAcentral lists this long non-coding RNA (502 nucleotides) under Vulpes vulpes (red fox). RNAcentral describes it as "lncRNA (ENSVVUG00000005247.1)". The record is from RNAcentral. Lineage: Eukaryota; Metazoa; Chordata; Mammalia; Carnivora; Canidae.
GUUCCUAGUCAUGUAAUUAUCAUCCUGAAAAUGUCUCAUUGCUCCCCAUUGCUUUCCAGAAAUUCAGUGGCCUCCAGAUUCUGACUGUGACUGCUAAGUUUCAUGUUACUCAUUCUCUCUUCCCAGUCAGCAGCACAGGUUCCAGGCUCCUGGAGUAUACAGUAUCCUCUCCUGCCUCCAGCCCUUGUUAUUGCAAUGGAAGCUCCAAUCCAAGAGGGUCUGUGGAGUUCCAGUUUACAGUGGACAUGACCGGCAUCCAGAGAGACUUGAAAGAAGCCUGAAUCUUCUCACUAGAAUCCCUGCAAAAUGACUCAUGUAAUUGCUCUAAGAAUCCUUAGCCUUUAUUGUACACCCACACAAUUCUGAUGCUAUAGACUCCUGUGGCAUGCAGGGAAAGUGGGAAGGGGGCCCAUUUUAGAUGCCUAGAAUUUCAGAAGGGACCACCAAUUCCACUUGUAAGAGCAGCUGGGGAGUGCCAAAUACCCAAACCAAGGCACCUGCC